Molecule: ribosomal RNA, 594 nt
Filed under: uncultured bacterium
Lineage: Bacteria
Description: bacterial SSU rRNA
Rfam family: Bacterial small subunit ribosomal RNA
Source: RNAcentral
GAGUUUGAUCCUGGCUCAGGAUGAACGCUAGCGGCAGGUCUAACACAUGCAAGUCGAGGGGUAACAGGAGAAAGCUUGCUUUCUUGCUGACGACCGGCGCACGGGUGCGUAACGCGUAUGCAACCUACCUCUUACUGGGGCAUAGCCCAGAGAAAUUUGGAUUAACUCCCCAUAGUACCAUUAGAUCGCAUGGUUUAUUGGUUAAAGGUUACGGUAAGAGAUGGGCAUGCGUCCCAUUAGCUAGUUGGUGAGGUAACGGCUCACCAAGGCUUCGAUGGGUAGGGGUUCUGAGAGGAUGAUCCCCCACACUGGUACUGAGACACGGACCAGACUCCUACGGGAGGCAGCAGUGAGGAAUAUUGCGCAAUGGACGAAAGUCUGACGCAGCCAUGCCGCGUGCAGGAAGACGGCGCUACGCGUUGUAAACUGCUUUUAUAUACCAAGAAACCUCAGGACGUGUCCUGAGCUGACGGUAGUAUAUGAAUAAGCACCGGCUAAACUCCGUGCCAGCAGACGCGGUAAUACGGAGGGUGCAAGCGUGAUCCGGAAUUAUAGGGUUAAAGGGUCCGUAGGCGGAUGAUUAAGUAAGUGGUG